CGAACGCUGGCGGCGUGCUUAACACAUGCAAGUCGCACGGAAAGGCCCUGCUUUUGUGGGGUGCUCGAGUGGCGAACGGGUGAGUAACACGUGAGUAACCUGCCCUUGACUUUGGGAUAACUUCAGGAAACUGGGGCUAAUACCGGAUAGGAGCUCCUGCUGCAUGGUGGGGGUUGGAAAGUUUCGGCGGUUGGGGAUGGACUCGCGGCUUAUCAGCUUGUUGGUGGGGUAGUGGCUUACCAAGGCUUUGACGGGUAGCCGGCCUGAGAGGGUGACCGGCCACAUUGGGACUGAGAUACGGCCCAGACUCCUACGGGAGGCAGCAGUGGGGAAUAUUGCACAAUGGGCGGAAGCCUGAUGCAACAACGCCGCGUGCGGGAUGACGGCCUUCGGGUGGGAAACCGCUUUCGCCUGUGACGAAGCGUGAGUGACGGUAAUGGGUAAAGAAGCACCGGCUAACUACGU
Molecule: ribosomal RNA, 465 nt
Filed under: uncultured bacterium
Lineage: Bacteria
Description: partial 16S ribosomal RNA
Rfam family: Bacterial small subunit ribosomal RNA
Source: RNAcentral